RNAcentral lists this transfer RNA (66 nucleotides) under Bembidion varium. Its description in RNAcentral is "tRNA-Asp". The record is from RNAcentral. Lineage: Eukaryota; Metazoa; Arthropoda; Insecta; Coleoptera; Carabidae.
AAAGAAUUAGUUAAAUAAUAACAUUAGAAUGUCAAACUGAAAUUAUUAAAAUAUUAAUAUUCUUUG